CCGCCCGUCACAUCACGAAAGUGGGUUGUACUAGAAGCGCGCAGGCCAACCGCAAGGAGGCAGCGUUCCAAGGUAUGACUCAUGAUUGGGGUG
Molecule: ribosomal RNA, 93 nt
Filed under: uncultured bacterium
Lineage: Bacteria
Description: partial 16S ribosomal RNA
Rfam family: Bacterial small subunit ribosomal RNA
Source: RNAcentral